Molecule: transfer RNA, 63 nt
Filed under: Acrobeloides varius
Lineage: Eukaryota; Metazoa; Nematoda; Chromadorea; Rhabditida; Cephalobidae
Description: tRNA-Lys
Source: RNAcentral
AGGUUUUUGUUGUAAUUUUUAUAAGCAUCUGAGUCUCUUAAGCUCUAGGGUAAAAAAAGCCUA